CUCAGCCAACACCCACACUUCUGUUCCCUCCUACUUCACUUUUUCUUUCUACAUCUUAUCUACACCCUUCAUCUUCUUCACAAUUCAAACCACAACAGACAAACACCUCAAAACUUUCCAUGUUCUUUGCUAUUGCUGUGCGAAAUUGUCAAAGGGUUUGUAGUUUCCAUCUUUAAACCAAUCAUGAACCUGAACUACAAUCCAAAAAAAAAACAUCUUUCAUCCUUUUCUUUUUUCGGAAGCUUCAAAGCAUGCUAGCAGCCUAGCAUCACGAAACGUAUUUUAGGAGAAACGUUAUAUACAUGACAUAUUGUUUUGUCUGAGAAUCCCACAACUCGUUUCCGUAUAACCCACAUACUCACCAGGAAGAUCAGACGUCGUCGGAGUUUCAUCAGAGACGACCGGAGUUCGAAGAUCUCGUCGGAAACAAGCCGAAGACCACCAACUGUCGUUUCAUGCACCCGUACCGUCGGAGAUGUAGAAGCUUCGCCGAGUUACGAGACGUUGUCGGAAAGAUCACCGGAGACCGCGGUUCAUUCCUUUUCGUUUCGGUUAGUCGCUCCUGUUCGUUCUCUUGGAAUUCCCAAUCUUACUCGUGCGAGAAAUCGCAAACGCAACCAAUGGAAUUAGUAAGUGGAUCUGGCGGGCGUUGGAAGUUUCAUGCUGCGUUGUGAAUAAAGAUGUCGUCCAUGGUUUUGAGGUCUGGGUUGAGUGUCUUUUUCCUGGACGAGACACGUCUACCAAACCUUGGUUUUAUUUAAUGUCUUUUGAUGAGUCCCUAGUGAACUCUUAAAACAAUUCGUAUGGUUUGUAAAACUUGUGUUU
Helianthus annuus (common sunflower) is the source of this 825-nucleotide long non-coding RNA. RefSeq lists it as uncharacterized. Lineage: Eukaryota; Viridiplantae; Streptophyta; Magnoliopsida; Asterales; Asteraceae. The record is from RefSeq and is a predicted model, not a curated record. The transcript is spliced from 3 exons.